RNAcentral lists this ribosomal RNA (277 nucleotides) under uncultured bacterium. RNAcentral describes it as "partial 16S ribosomal RNA". It matches the Rfam family "Bacterial small subunit ribosomal RNA", at positions 28 to 308 of the family's 1533-position model. The record is from RNAcentral.
GAUAAACGCUGGCGGCGUGCCUAACACAUGCAAGUCGAACGCCCUUCCUUUUGCAAAAGAGGGAGGGAGUGGCGGACGGGUGAGUAACACGUGGGUACCUACCGUGGGGUGAGGAAUACCGGCGAGAAAUCGCCGACAAGACCGCAUAGGCUUGGGGGACCAAGCAAAGUUGCGUUUUGCGCGACGCCCCAUGAUGGGCCUGCGCCCGAUUAGCUAGUUGGGGAGGUAAAAGCUUCCCAAGGCGACGAUCGGUAGCUGGUCUGAGAGGAUGAUCAGC